RNAcentral lists this long non-coding RNA (176 nucleotides) under Ictidomys tridecemlineatus (thirteen-lined ground squirrel). RNAcentral describes it as "lncRNA (ENSSTOG00000030961.1)". Lineage: Eukaryota; Metazoa; Chordata; Mammalia; Rodentia; Sciuridae. The record is from RNAcentral.
GCCAGAAUAACCUGUUAUCUUCAUAAGUUGAUUUUUUUUCAUGUAUUUGCUUCAGUGAUGGAAAGCUGACUAACACACUGAUCUUGGUCUGCUCCUACCUGGAGAGAAGAUACAGUUUAAGUCCAAGGUAAGAAAAUUUCCUCUGGUGGGCAUUGGCUAUCCAUUUACAAAAUGGU